GACGAACGCUGGCGGCGUGCUUAACACAUGCAAGUCGAACGGAAAGGCCCUGCUUUUGUGGGGUGCUCGAGUGGCGAACGGGUGAGUAACACGUGAGUAACCUGCCCUUGACUUUGGGAUAACUUCAGGAAACUGGGGCUAAUACCGGAUAGGAGCUCCUGCUGCAUGGUGGGGGUUGGAAAGUUUCGGCGGUUGGGGAUGGACUCGCGGCUUAUCGGCUUGUUGGUGGGGUAGUGGCUUACCAAGGCUUUGACGGGUAGCCGGCCUGAGAGGGUGACCGGCCACAUUGGGACUGAGAUACGGCCCAGACUCCUACGGGAGGCAGCAGUGGGGAAUAUUGCACAAUGGGUGGAAGCCUGAUGCAGCAACGCCGUGUGCGGGAUGACGGCCUUCGGGUUGUAAACCGCUUUCGCUCAUGACGAAGCUUUGUGUGACGGUAGUGGGUAAAGAAGCACCGGCUAACUACGUG
Molecule: ribosomal RNA, 469 nt
Filed under: uncultured bacterium
Lineage: Bacteria
Description: partial 16S ribosomal RNA
Rfam family: Bacterial small subunit ribosomal RNA
Source: RNAcentral